This 535-nucleotide small RNA is filed under the name Pan troglodytes (chimpanzee). RNAcentral describes it as "retained intron". The record is from RNAcentral. Lineage: Eukaryota; Metazoa; Chordata; Mammalia; Primates; Hominidae.
CUUGAGCUUAGCAUCAACUCUGCUUUUGGAGCGUCCAGAAUAGGCCCCCCUUCCCCUGGGCUUGUUGAUUCUCUGGAAGGGCGGGUAGAAGUCUUGUUGUUUCCUUCUGCCCCAACAGGCCCUCCACGCCCUUCAGGAGGAGCAGGCCAGACUCAAGAUGAGGCUGUGGGACCUGCAGCAGCUGAGAAAGGAGCUCAGGGACUCCCCCAAAGACAAGGUCCCAUUUUCAGUGCCCAAGAUCCCCCUGGUAUUCCGAGGACACACCCAGCAGGACCCGGAAGUGCCUAAGUCUUUAGUUUCCAAUUUGCGGAUCCACUGCCCUCUGCUUGCGGGCUCUGCUCUGAUCACCUUUGAUGACCCCAAAGGUAAGCUCAUGGGGAGCCUCAGGAGGGAGGUGGGGAGGAUUCCCAGUACUGACCCUGUUUCCCACCACCCAGUGGCUGAGCAGGUGCUGCAACAAAAGGAGCACACGAUCAACAUGGAGGAGUGCCGGCUGCGGGUGCAGGUCCAGCCCUUGGAGCUGCCCAUGGUCACC